GAUGAACGCUGGCGGCGUGCCUAAUACAUGCAAGUCGAGCGAACAGAUGAGGAGCUUGCUCCUCUGACGUUAGCGGCGGACGGGUGAGUAACACGUGGAUAACCUACCUAUAAGACUGGGAUAACUUCGGGAAACCGGAGCUAAUACCGGAUAAUAUAUUGAACCGCAUGGUUCAAUAGUGAAAGACGGUUUUGCUGUCACUUAUAGAUGGAUCCGCGCCGCAUUAGCUAGUUGGUAAGGUAACGGCUUACCAAGGCAACGAUGCGUAGCCGACCUGAGAGGGUGACCGCCCACCCUGGAACUGAGACCCGGUCCAGACUCCUACGGGAGGCAGCAGUAGGGAAUCUUCCGCAAUGGGCGAAAGCCUGACGGAGCAACGCCGCGUGAGUGAUGAAGGUCUUCGGAUCGUAAAACUCUGUUAUUAGGGAAGAACAAAUGUGUAAGUAACUAUGCACGUCUUGACGGUACCUAAUCAGAAAGCCACGGCUAACUACG
This 495-nucleotide ribosomal RNA is filed under the name uncultured bacterium. RNAcentral describes it as "partial 16S ribosomal RNA". It matches the Rfam family "Bacterial small subunit ribosomal RNA", at positions 28 to 505 of the family's 1533-position model. The record is from RNAcentral.